Molecule: ribosomal RNA, 293 nt
Filed under: uncultured bacterium
Lineage: Bacteria
Description: partial 16S ribosomal RNA
Rfam family: Bacterial small subunit ribosomal RNA
Source: RNAcentral
UGAUCCUACGGGAGGCAGCAGUGAGGAAUAUUGGUCAAUGGUCGGGAGACUGAACCAGCCAAGCCGCGUGAGGGAUGAAGGUACAGAGUAUCGUAAACCUCUUUUGUCAGGGAACAAAGGCGGGGACGUGUCCCCGGAUGAGUGUACCUGGAGAAAAAGCAUCGGAUAACUCCGUGCCAGCAGCCGCGGUAAUACGGAGGAUGCGAGCGUUAUGCGGAUUUAUUGGGGUUAAAGGGCGCGCAGGCGGUCUGUUAAGUCAGGGGUCAAAGCCCGGGGCUCAACCCCGGCCCGCC